RNAcentral lists this ribosomal RNA (880 nucleotides) under uncultured bacterium. Its description in RNAcentral is "bacterial SSU rRNA". It matches the Rfam family "Bacterial small subunit ribosomal RNA", at positions 610 to 1502 of the family's 1533-position model. The record is from RNAcentral.
CANCNNNAAAAUUGCAGUUGAUACUGUCAGUCUUGAGUACAGUAGAGGUGGGCGGAAUUCGUGGUGUAGCGGUGAAAUGCUUAGAUAUCACGAAGAACUCCGAUUGCGAAGGCAGCUCACUGGACUGCAACUGACACUGAUGCUCGAAAGUGUGGGUAUCAAACAGGAUUAGAUACCCUGGUAGUCCACACAGUAAACGAUGAAUACUCGCUGUUUGCGAUAUACAGUAAGCGGCCAAGCGAAAGCAUUAAGUAUUCCACCUGGGGAGUACGCCGGCAACGGUGAAACUCAAAGGAAUUGACGGGGGCCCGCACAAGCGGAGGAACAUGUGGUUUAAUUCGAUGAUACGCGAGGAACCUUACCCGGGCUUAAAUUGCAGUGGAAUGAUGUGGAAACAUGUCAGUGAGCAAUCACCGCUGUGAAGGUGCUGCAUGGUUGUCGUCAGCUCGUGCCGUGAGGUGUCGGCUUAAGUGCCAUAACGAGCGCAACCCUUAUCUUCAGUUACUAACAGGUCAUGCUGAGGACUCUGGAGAGACUGCCGUCGUAAGAUGUGAGGAAGGUGGGGAUGACGUCAAAUCAGCACGGCCCUUACGUCCGGGGCUACACACGUGUUACAAUGGGGGGUACAGAAGGCAGCUAGCGGGUGACCGUAUGCUAAUCCCAAAAUCCUCUCUCAGUUCGGAUCGAAGUCUGCAACCCGACUUCGUGAAGCUGGAUUCGCUAGUAAUCGCGCAUCAGCCACGGCGCGGUGAAUACGUUCCCGGGCCUUGUACACACCGCCCGUCAAGCCAUGGGAGCCGGGGGUACCUGAAGUACGUAACCGCAAGGAUCGUCCUAGGGUAAAACUGGUGACUGGGGCUAAGUCGUAACAAGGUAACCA